AGGGAUUGGGGUUAAAAAACGGGAGAGAGGAAAAAAGAUCGAGAAAGUCUCCUUCUACUUCUUCAAGCAAAUCACAGUAGCCAUACAACAUUAAAAUUCCAUUUUUUCUUCAUAACUUCAUCAUAUAAAUCCCAUAGAAACUUAUCUCUUGUUCCAUAAAACCAGUCCCCAAAACUUUGAAGCUCCCAAAAUGGAGGCACCCCACCGAUUUGGAAGGAACCUUCAACAGCCAAAUCUCUGAUUUCUCAGAACACCCAACAACUUAAACACACACACACAUCUAACACAUACAAAAACGAAAAAACAGAGAAGGAAAAGGGUCGAGAUCACUUAAAUACGAAGGGGGAAAAGGAUCAAGAUCUGGAAAAUGAAGGGAACAAAAAAUCGAACAAACUUUCUCUUUCGCUUUCUUCCUCACUGACAGCAACCUUCACUGGUUUUCUUCAUCUCCCGUUCUCAAAAAUGCAGCAGCAAUUUUUAAGUUUGAGUUCCAUCGUGGUCGCCGGAGUAGUUUCGCGUUCGAGGUUCCGAUGUUGCUAGUUUCUUGUUCGAUCUUCGUUCCGAUAGUCGGGGAUUUGUUUGGCUCGGACAAAUGUAAGUUUUCAACUUCGAAUUCAUUAAUACAAAGGUUGGACUUUUGCCUUCUCACUAUAUUGGCUUUGAAUAUCAUUUUGUUUCUGCCCAUUAAAACUGUUUGCUAACUUCACCAACAUGGUAGAUACGCUCUUAAAUGCUACAUGCUUUGUCAUUUUUUUUGUUAGUUUUUUUAUUUAUUAUUGAUCCUACUUUAAUUUAUCCUUAGUUUUAUCUAUAUGUGUGAGUAGAUACAAGAGUGAAGGAUAUUAAUUUCAUGCAUCAAUUUUAAAGUAUUAAAUAGUAAAUAAAAAAUGAAGAACCAUGAUUGGACACAUAAGAACGAGGUUUAGAGUUGGGUGUGAGUGAUCUGGAAAUACAGUAUUUGGACUUUGAUUUAAAAUUUGAAGGAUUCACAUCCUAUGAUAAUUCUGGGCUUCAUUUGUUGGGCCGUAGGAGGUUGGUAUAGAAAAAAAUUUCUCCGUAAUUUUGGGCCUUACAAUAAUUUCAAAAUUUAGCAAGAAUAAUGAACAUUCGUAGAAAUGUUGUAGGUGCAGGUUUUAAAAUUACUAUCUUGAUUACGUACAUGUUUGCCUGACAUGAUUACAAUUUUUCAAAUAAAUUUAAGGCACGCGUUUGCGCGACUUUGGCCAAGCUUUUUCUUAAAUAAACGAAGUGUUGUGAAUUGUGUACAUAUACGCAUGACAUGAUUCUUGAUGUCAUGUGUAUAUGGGCUAAAUAUGGGGCUAAAUAUGGAAAAACUAAUUCAUGAAAGACAACAUGGCGAUUGACAUAAACACGACCAAAUGUAGGAUCUAGGCAACAAUAUCCUUUAUAAUUAAAAGCAUAACCUAGGAAAAUACAUUGGAUAGAACGUGGUUGAAGCUUAUGAGAAACUUGAGAAGAUAUAUUUGGAAAACAUUCACAACCAAAAAGUCGAAGAAAACUAUAGUUAGAGGGUGUAUGAAAAAGCUUUUCAAAUGGAGAAAGUCUUUUUAAAAUAGGGGUAGGUAAUCUAUUAAUAGUAUAAACAGCGUAAAAAGCAGUAUCAACCCAAAAUUGAGAUGGCAAAUGAGCAUCUGUAAGGAUGGUACACACCAUUUCAAUUAUGUGGCGAUGUUUUCGUUCAGCCACCCCAUUUUGUUGAGGAGUAUUUGGGCAUGAUUUACGAAAAGAAAUACCUAAGUUAGAAAAACGUUGAAGCAUAGCCUUAUUAUCAAAUUCACCACCUCCAUCGCUUUAAAAAGUUUUAAUUUUAGUGUUAAAAGUGUUCUCCGCGAGUUUUUGAAAUGUACAAAACUGCUAAAAAACUUCUGAUUUUCUCAUCAUAGGAUAAAACCAUGUAAAUCGAGAAAAAUCGUCAACAAAUAUAACAUAAUAUCGAAAACCCAAGUUUGAUAAAACAGGCGAUUGCCAAACAUCAGAAUGAAUAAUAUCUAAAGAAAAAGAACUACGGUGAGCAACUAAGUUAAAGGACAAACGUUGAGACUUUCCUAACUUGCACGAAACACAAUUAUUACUAAAGGAAUUUAGUAGCGUAAUAAAAUUAUGGUUCCUAAGACUUGACAAAACACGACUACCAUUAUGACCUAAACGACGAUGCCAGAUGUCUCCGGAUUGACGUAGAGCAACAAAGGCCUGAGGAGGAGAAGUCACAGACGAGGACGAUAAUGGAUAAAUAUCACCUUUACUGGAAGCUUGAAGGAGAGGUUGCCCCGUUACCUUGUCCUUCACACAAAUAGAAGAAUCAUCAAAGUCAACUUUACAAUUAUUAUCCCUACAUAACUUUUUAACAGAAAUCAAAUUAUGUCGAAGUGAGGAACAUGAAAUAUAGACUGUAAGUGUAGAGGACGAGAUGUAGAAGGCAACUGAGCAUAGCCAAUAUUUUUAAUGUUAAGCAAUGUACCAUUUCC
This 2486-nucleotide long non-coding RNA is filed under the name Nicotiana tabacum (common tobacco). Its description in RNAcentral is "long non-coding RNA (NTAB_LNC004962)". The record is from RNAcentral. Lineage: Eukaryota; Viridiplantae; Streptophyta; Magnoliopsida; Solanales; Solanaceae.